This 310-nucleotide ribosomal RNA is filed under the name Epiperipatus edwardsii. RNAcentral describes it as "partial 12S ribosomal RNA". Lineage: Eukaryota; Metazoa; Onychophora; Udeonychophora; Euonychophora; Peripatidae. The record is from RNAcentral.
UCUAAAGCAAAAUAAUACUUCAAAAAAAAAUAAAUUUGACGGUAUUAACAUUUUCAAAGGAAUUUGUUUCUAUAAUCGAUAAUACACGAUAAACCUUACUUAAUAAUUUUCUGUAUACCACCGUAUUGAAAUUAUUUUAUAUCAAUUUCAUAAUAAAUAUUCUUAUUAAAUCAGGUCAAGGUGCAAUUUUAUUAAGAUGAAAUGAAUUACAUUAAUAAUAUUUAAAUAUAAAAAUUGAAAAAUUUUUAAAAAUAGAAUUUGUCAGUAAAAUUUUAUAAUAAAGAUUAUUUGAUAAUUUUAAUUAAUAUGU